UGCCAUCCAAGCUGUUGGAUAUGUUGUCAUGAGUUCAGAGUUGUUUGACAAAGCACUUGCAGUGUUACCCGUAGCAAAUUUUGGGUCAUGCCUUGACAAAGCACUUGCAGUGUUACCCGUAGCAAAUUUUUUGUCAUGCCUAUGCCUAUCAUGGAUGUAAUUUCCUUUGCCAUUUGUGUUAAAGGCUUGGAAAUGCUAAUCCAGGUAUGUGCUAGUUUACGGUAGAUUGGUAUAUCGGCAGAAUGGGAAUGGCGCUUGUGCCAGUCCAAGUAUCGGGGAGAUGCAUCGCAUCUGUAUGGACUUGCUUUCAAAUUAGUAUAUCUAGAUGCAAUAACAAACGUUACAUUGAG
Molecule: long non-coding RNA, 350 nt
Filed under: Sorghum bicolor (sorghum)
Lineage: Eukaryota; Viridiplantae; Streptophyta; Magnoliopsida; Poales; Poaceae
Description: long non-coding RNA (SBIC_LNC005721)
Source: RNAcentral